GCGAGUCGCUGAGAAAAGAAGGAGCUGUGGAGAAAAGCGGCAGGAAGCCGGCGGGUGGUCCGCCGGCGCCCGAAUGCUGACCGUCCGGGGGCGUCCCCGGCGGCUUCCACCGGUCCCGGAGGCUCGGAAGGCGAAGGGGGACCGGACCGCGCGGAUUGGCACGGCUGAGGCGGCAGCACCUCCACGUCCCGACGAUGCACCUCACCUCAUCCACACGCAGCGCCCGCCGAGGCGUUCCCCGAGCACGUCGGAGAGGCUCCCCGGCCUAGGUUUUGUUGCCUCCUGCCCUGGGAUACAAUUCUGUGUGGUCUUACAGCUACAUAAACACUGGUGCCAAGGUGUCUCAGAUGCUUACCAGAGAUAAGAAAAUAGGCUCCAGGAAAGUGGUAUUGCACCUGCCCUUGUCAUUUAUUAACCAGGUAUGUGUCUCUCUAUAGUUGUGUUUAUGGCUUCCUCCUUUUCUCAUCAUUCAUUUUGUUUUCAUUGAAAAGGCCCUUGACCACAUACUCUUAAAGGAACAGAUGUUUUCUCCUUCCAUAUAAUUUUACAGUAUUUACUGGAUAUCAGAUCUUACUCUGGUUCUGGUCCAAAUGAGCUGAAUAGAUCUCUUGGCAUUUAUCUCCAACCCUGUGAUAUGAAAAACAUAAGAUUGUGUCAAUGUAGGUGUAACAGACAUUUUAUUGUUACAGCAAGACUGAAAUAUUCUUUGUACUGCACGAUUGUUGGAAAUUACAGUUCUUUCACAUACAACUUCAGUCAGUUAUGAAUAACUAGUCCUGUAAAGGUUUGGACAACUCUUUUUUAGUAAUAGCCAAUAUUCCAAUAUAAUUUUGAAAAGAAAAAUAUAUAUAUAUUAUGCCAUUAUUAUGAUUUAAAUAAAAAUGUAUAUUCCUCCA
This 896-nucleotide long non-coding RNA is filed under the name Anser cygnoides (Swan goose). Its description in RNAcentral is "lncRNA (ENSACDG00005012565.1)". Lineage: Eukaryota; Metazoa; Chordata; Aves; Anseriformes; Anatidae. The record is from RNAcentral.